RNAcentral lists this ribosomal RNA (257 nucleotides) under Escherichia coli. RNAcentral describes it as "partial 16S ribosomal RNA". It matches the Rfam family "Bacterial small subunit ribosomal RNA", at positions 1 to 254 of the family's 1533-position model. The record is from RNAcentral. Lineage: Bacteria; Pseudomonadati; Pseudomonadota; Gammaproteobacteria; Enterobacterales; Enterobacteriaceae. RNAcentral also lists the same sequence under 1 other name.
AAAUUGAAGAGUUUGAUCAUGGCUCAGAUUGAACGCUGGCGGCAGGCCUAACACAUGCAAGUCGAACGGUAACAGAAAGCAGCUUGCUGCUUUGCUGACGAGUGGCGGACGGGUGAGUAAUGUCUGGGAAACUGCCCGAUGGAGGGGGAUAACUACUGGAAACGGUAGCUAAUACCGCAUAACGUCGCAAGACCAAAGAGGGGGACCUUCGGGCCUCUUGCCAUCGGAUGUGCCCAGAUGGGAUUAGCUAGUAGGUG